AGACAGUAGAGUAAUGUAGGUGUUUAUUAAAGACAGUAGAGUAAUGUAGGUGUGUAUUAGACAGUAGAGUAAUGUAGGUGUGUAUUAAAGACAGUAGAGUAAUGCAGGUGUGUAUUAGACAGUAGAGUAAUGUAGGUGUUUAUUAAAGACAGACAGUAGAGUAAUGUAGGUGUUUAUUAAAGACAGUAGAGUAAUGUAGGUGUUUAUUAAAGACAGUAGUGUAAUGUAGGUGUUUAUUAAAGACAGACAGUAGAGUAAUGUAGGUGUUUAUUAAAGACAGUAGAGUAAUGUAGGUGUUUAUUAAAGACAGUAGUGUAAUGUAGGUGUUUAUUAAAGACAGACAGUAGAGUAAUGUAGGUGUUUAUUAAAGACAGUAGAGUAAUGUAGGUGUUUAUUAAAGACAGUAGUGUAAUGUAGGUGUUUAUUAAAGACAGACAGUAGAGUAAUGUAGGUGUUUAUUAAAGACAGUAGAGUAAUGUAGGUGUUUAUUAAAGACAGUAGUGUAAUGUAGGUGUUUAUUAAAGACAGACAGUAGAGUAAUGUAGGUGUUUAUUAAAGACAGACAGUAGAGUAAUGUAGGUGUUUAUUAAAGACAGUAGAGUAAUGUAGGUGUUUAUUAAAGACAGUAGUGUAAUGUAGGUGUUUAUUAAAGACAGACAGUAGAGUAAUGUAGGUGUUUAUUAAAGACAGUAGAGUAAUGUAGGUGUUUAUUAAAGACAGUAGUGUAAUGUAGGUGUUUAUUAAAGACAGACAGUAGAGUAAUGUAGGUGUUUAUUAAAGACAGACAGUAGAGUAAUGUAGUGUUUAUUAAAGACAGUAGAGUGAUGUAGUGUUUAUUAAAGACAGUAGAGUAAUGUAGUGUUUAUUAAAGACAGUAGAGUAAUGUAG
Molecule: long non-coding RNA, 888 nt
Organism: Oncorhynchus keta (chum salmon)
Lineage: Eukaryota; Metazoa; Chordata; Actinopteri; Salmoniformes; Salmonidae
Exons: 6
Source: RefSeq, a predicted model, not a curated record